This 327-nucleotide long non-coding RNA is filed under the name Medicago truncatula (barrel medic). RNAcentral's name for it is "lncRNA gene6057". The record is from RNAcentral. Lineage: Eukaryota; Viridiplantae; Streptophyta; Magnoliopsida; Fabales; Fabaceae.
CUUGUAACCCAACUGGGGGCAUCAAUCAAGGUGGAAUUGUCAGGUUGGGUUGGUGGCUGCACCAUGCUUGCCAAUGAGACCUAGGCGAAAGCUUGAGUCUUCUGGGGUCCUAGCCUCUUCCUUGGUGCAAGUCUGUUCAACUGUCAUACAUGGUAGUUUUUGCUAACCUCCGCAGUUGAAGAAAUAUCUCUAUUUUCAUGAUCAUCAGUUAAAGAAUUAUUCAUUGGACCAUAUUUACAUAAUCACAAGAAUGAUAUCGAAUCUUUCAAGUAGAACAAUGUAAGUUGAUGGAAAAGAAAACUACUUACUGUGAGCUAGGCAAUUUUA